RNAcentral lists this transfer RNA (69 nucleotides) under Grundulus bogotensis. RNAcentral describes it as "tRNA-Thr". It matches the Rfam family "tRNA". Rfam says of the family: Transfer RNA (tRNA) molecules are approximately 80 nucleotides in length. The record is from RNAcentral. Lineage: Eukaryota; Metazoa; Chordata; Actinopteri; Characiformes; Acestrorhamphidae.
CCCUAAUAGCUUAACCCAAAGCAUCGGUUUUGUAAUCCGAAGAUCGGAGGUUAAACUCCUCCUUAGCGC